This is a long non-coding RNA of Gymnodraco acuticeps, 472 nucleotides long. RefSeq lists it as uncharacterized. The record is from RefSeq and is a predicted model, not a curated record. NCBI's taxonomy places the organism in Eukaryota, Metazoa, Chordata, Actinopteri, Perciformes, Bathydraconidae. The transcript has 4 exons.
UAUUUAUACAGUAUGCAUUGUACAUUAAUAAUAUAUCUUAUCUCACGCAGUGAUUACUUCAAAAUGAGGAGGACCUGCUGCAGUAAGACAGACUGGGUAGACAUAAAAUGGAAGAGAGGAGUAAUGAAACACCCAGUACAGCAGGAUGGCAAUAGCUGUGGGGUAGUUGUCUGCAUGAUGGCAAAGGAGGUCAUGGAAGUCUUUCCUAAAACACCAACAAUGGCCUUUGGGACCACAAAAAAGGAGAUGUUAAAGAAAAGUGUUGGCCAUGGAAAUACUGACAGCAUCAGUGUUUGACAAAGAAGUCAACUGUGCCAUGUGCGCCGGCAUAAAACCACCCGGCUCAGUGCCACAUCACACCCACACUGACUGGAUUCAGUGUGACAGCUGUUUCCGGUGGUGCCACACACAGUGCCUGCAUAUGGACCAAAAGUCUCUUGAAGAGGCACAAGUUGGGGACUGGGUUUGCUCU